Molecule: ribosomal RNA, 460 nt
Filed under: uncultured bacterium
Lineage: Bacteria
Description: partial 16S ribosomal RNA
Rfam family: Bacterial small subunit ribosomal RNA
Source: RNAcentral
CCUACGGGGGGCAGCAGUGAGGAAUAUUGGUCAAUGGGCUUACGCCUGAACCAGCCAAGUCGCGUGAGGGAAGACUGCCCUAUGGGUUGUAAACCUCUUUUGUCAGGGAGCAAUUGGCGCUACGUGUAGCGUUAUCGAGAGUACCUGAAGAAAAAGCAUCGGCUAACUCCGUGCCAGCAGCCGCGGUAAUACGGAGGAUGCGAGCGUUAUCCGGAUUUAUUGGGUUUAAAGGGUGCGUAGGCGGAAUGCCAAGUCAGCGGUAAAAUCGCGGGGCUCAACCUCGCUCCGCCGUUGAAACUGGCGGUCUUGAGUGGGCGAGAAGUAUGCGGAAUGCGUGGUGUAGCGGUGAAAUGCAUAGAUAUCACGCAGAACUCCGAUUGCGAAGGCAGCAUAUCGGAGCCCAACUGACGCUGAAGCACGAAAGCGUGGGUAUCGAACAGGAUUAGAUACCCCUGUAGUC